This 36-nucleotide transfer RNA is filed under the name Dupontia fisheri. RNAcentral describes it as "partial tRNA-Phe". Lineage: Eukaryota; Viridiplantae; Streptophyta; Magnoliopsida; Poales; Poaceae. The record is from RNAcentral.
GUCAGGAUAGCUCAGUUGGUAGAGCAGAGACUGAAA